GACGAACGCUGGCGGCAGGCCUAACACAUGCAAGUCGGGCGAGGGGCGGACGGGAGUGUAAUGUAUGGGGAUGUGCCUGAGGGCGGGGGAUAAAUACGGGAAACGGGAGCUAACAACGUAAAACAUACGGUGAACCCAUAUGGGAUUAGCUAGGAGGUGAGGUAACGGCUUCCCUAGGCGACGAUCCCUAGCUGGUCUGAGAGGAGGAUCAGCCCCACUGGUACUGAUACACGCCCCAGACUCCUACGGGAGGCAGCCGUGGGGAAUAUUGCACAAUGGGCGCCAGCCUGAUGCAGCCAUGCCGCGUGUAUGAAGAAGGCCUUCGGUUUUUAAAAUACUUUCAGUCGGGAGGCGUUACCGACAGAAGAAGCACCGGCUAACUCCGUGCCAGCAGCCGCGGUAAUAC
RNAcentral lists this ribosomal RNA (406 nucleotides) under uncultured bacterium. RNAcentral describes it as "partial 16S ribosomal RNA". It matches the Rfam family "Bacterial small subunit ribosomal RNA", at positions 28 to 526 of the family's 1533-position model. The record is from RNAcentral.